RNAcentral lists this ribosomal RNA (324 nucleotides) under uncultured bacterium. RNAcentral's name for it is "bacterial SSU rRNA". It matches the Rfam family "Bacterial small subunit ribosomal RNA", at positions 28 to 334 of the family's 1533-position model. The record is from RNAcentral.
GAUGAACGCUGGCGGCGUGCUUAACACAUGCAAGUCGAACGAAGCACUUAAGAUUGAUUCUUCGGAUGAAGUCUUUUGUGACUGAGUGGCGGACGGGUGAGUAACGCGUGGGUAACCUGCCUCAUACAGGGGGAUAACAGUUAGAAAUGACUGCUAAUACCGCAUAAGCGCACAGGACCGCAUGGUCUGGUGUGAAAAACUCCGGUGGUAUGAGAUGGACCCGCGUCUGAUUAGCUAGUUGGUGAGGUAACGGCCCACCAAGGCGACGAUCGGUAGCCGGACUGAGAGGUUGAACGGCCACAUUGGGACUGAGACACGGCCCAG